GUGGGGAAUAUUGGACAAUGGGCGAAAGCCUGAUCCAGCCAUGCCGCGUGUGUGAAGAAGGUCUUCGGAUUGUAAAGCACUUUAAGUUGGGAGGAAGGGCAGUAAGUUAAUACCUUGCUGUUUUGACGUUACCGACAGAAUAAGCACCGGCUAACUUCGUGCCAACAGCCGCGGUAAUACGAAGGGUGCAAGCGUUAAUCGGAAUUACUGUGCGUAAAGCGCGCGUAGGUGGUUUUGUAAGUUGGAGGUGAAAUCCCCGGGCUCAACCUGGGAACUGCCGCCGAAACUGCAUGACUAGAGUAGGGUAGAGGGUAGUGGAAUUGCCUGUGUAGCGGUGAAAUGCGUAGAUAUAGGAAGGAACACCAGUGGCGAAGGCGACUACCUGGACUGAUACUGACACUGAGGUGCGAAAGCGUGGGGAGCAAACAGGAUUAGAAACCCUUGUAGUCC
RNAcentral lists this ribosomal RNA (450 nucleotides) under uncultured bacterium. Its description in RNAcentral is "partial 16S ribosomal RNA". It matches the Rfam family "Bacterial small subunit ribosomal RNA", at positions 354 to 796 of the family's 1533-position model. The record is from RNAcentral.